GCGACCGGUGCGGGAGGCAGCUAAUCAGGGCGGGGCUUGCAGACCGGGUUGAAGUCCAGGGCCCAGGAACCCUAGGGUAACCGAAAGCAGCCUCUGGGUUGGGCCUGCGGUGGGGCGGGGCUAGAGGUGUGGCCGCGCCCUAAACCUGGCGCAAGGCCGGUACCUAAAGGCUCCUGGGAGCCAAAAGAGCAAGUCAGGGAACUAGCUUUGGUUGGGUUCGGUGGUACACAAAGCACAAGGCCUGGGUUGGGGUUAGGAGGAAAUGAGACUUGCGGCGGGUCGGGGCUGAAGAUGUGGCAGCGCCCUGAACCUGGAGAAAGGCUGGUACGUAAACGCCUGCGUCGCAAUCUGGAGUCAGCUGGAGUGUCCCGGCAGAAUCCCUUUGGUCAAGGAGAGGGAGAGAGAGGUAAGGGUCUGGUCUUACUUUUUAAGCAGGAAGAAGACUACAAACCACCAUCUACCAUCUGCCAGGUAAUUUUAAACCAGUCCACUUAAUCCCCAUCAGAUUUUCCAGAUGCUUUGAAUGCAGAGCUAAGGUUGAGAACCACUGAUUUAGACAAAUAUACUAUGGGAGAAGGGGAAGGAGGUUCCACCAGCAGAGAGCAACCAGCUAGAGCCAUUUGGGGCUUAUCACAAAAGACUUCUUGUCAGGGAAAUUCACCUAUUGAGAGACAUUUUGGUUGUUUCCAAUUCUGGGCCAUUGAAAAGAAUGCUAAUAAGCAAAGCCCCUCUUCUGCUAUGAAAGUAACAGUGGGCAGAUAUUCCCUCUCUGGCCCUUGGGUAACUGAAAGGAGGCUUAUAACCAAAGCACAGCCAGUGAGAUGCUCCUGCUCAGGAUGUUGAUUUUGGAGAAGUGACACAAGGUAUAUGAUCAGAGUUAAGGGUUCAGUAGGCCAGUAAUGAGUGCCAGUGGUGUUGGUUCCAGUAGCACAAUGGUAAGUAUCCAGUUUAGAAGGCUCGGGUGGCAGCAUCCUAAGCCCACUAUCCCUAGCGAGAUGCUGGCUGUGCCUCACCAACCCUCAUCCCUGCCUCAUCCUUGUUCUCCAGCUUCCCAUUAAAACUGUGAGCUUCCUAAUACCUUUCCAAUAAAUUAAAUUUUGUCAUAAAUAUACCAUAAUCCAUUUCUAUUGUUUCUUUCUUUUUUUUUCUUUUUUUUUUUGAGGCAGAGUCUUGCUCUGUCACCCAGGCUGGAGUGCAAUGGCACAAUCUUGGCUCAUGGCAGCCUCUACUUCCCAGGUUCAAGCAAUUCUCCUGCCUCAGCCUCCUGACUAGCUGGAAUUACAGGUGCAUGCCACCAUGCCCGGCUAAUUUUUGUGUUUUUAGUAGAGAUGGGGUUUUGCCAUGUUGGCCAGGAUGGUCUCGAACUCCGGACCUCAAGUGAUCCGGCUGCCUUGGCCUCUCAAAGUGCUAAGAUGACAGGCGUGAGACACCGCACCCAAUGAUUUCUAUUGUUUCUAUCCAAGAACAUUGAUGAGUAUAUGAGGACAAAAAUACUAAUCAAAAAGUCACAUACAAAUGAAUGAUUUGAAUUGGCAAUGAGUGACUUGAAGAAAAGGUACAUGGGUGAAAUUAAUCUGGUCUGGAAGGUCAAAGUAUAAAGAAUGCUUCCCUUAGGAAAUGACACUAAAACUGAGACAGACUCAAAGUUAAUGAGGUAAAACGUGGAGGGGUGGAGCGGUGGGAGGGUGAUGGGUAGUAACAAGGGGAAAGAAGAGUGGGAAAUGCAGCGCCAGUAGCCUGAGAUCAAAAUGGCUUUCUUAGCUCUGGUUGGUUUGGAGGGUAAGAAACUAAAGAGGAGGUGAUUGAAAUGCAGGUGACACAUCUCAAUGGAAUAUUAUGAUCCUUGUGGAGACUGCAUAGUACCAUGGAGCAAGUAUUAUGGUUGAAGAUAGUAGACCUGUAGUUCAUACACCAAAGAAUUAAGGAAUCACGCAUGCCUAUUGGAACAAAAGGGUAGGUAGGUAGAAUACCUGGCCUUGUUUUUCCCCCUGCGGCGGACAUCAGGUGUUUGUGCUAUAUACUGCCUCCUCCCUUAGAGAACUGCUGCUUCCCCAAAUCUUGAUCUGGUGGGAUUGCCAACCACAGCUCUCCACUCCCCUAGCCACAAUGAGGGCAGAGGAUCCAGGCCUGACCAGUCAGACCACAUAUUCCAAUCAGCACAGGGCAAUCCAUGUGAGCACAUGGCUCAGACUCAGGCAGGCAGGCUCUGCUCUGAUUUUGUUCAUUUCAGGCUGGAGAAGAGAUCUUUCCUCAACUCCACAAAUUACCCCAGUAUUCUUCCUGGGAUGGAUCCUUGCCCACCCAUGAAUCCUUUUUUGUUUUGCUUUUUGAUUUAUUAGGGCUACUUUCUGUAUACAUAUAAGGAAAAAAUUUUUUACUUUUUAACUGUUGUUUUAUGACCAUAGAAUACAUACAUAUUGUAUAAGAUUCAAACAAUAAGAAAACACAUAAAGAAGACCAUUUCAGAGUUUCUAUCCCUGUCACAUAUUUCUAGUUUUACUAAAUGAGGUAGUCUAGAACAAUGUGAUCUAUGAUUUCUGAGAGGGACUAGAAGAUUCGAGAAGAUUUGCUGAGGUUUGAUAAGGUCCAAUAUAUGGCUAAUUUGGUAAAUGCUUCCUGAGCCCGUAAAGAUAUAUUCUCUGAAGUUCCAGAGUGCAAUAUUUAUCUGUUAGGCAAAGUAUAUCAAUUACAUUUUUGGCCUUUGUGCUGGGUCUAUUUGGAGUAUAGAGAUAAUAGUAUCCCUAUAUCAUAAGGUUGUCCUAAGGACUAAAUAUGUUAAUACAUGAAAAUAACUUAUAAUAGUGCCUGCCACACAGUAAAUAUCCCCCAAAUGUUAAUUGUUUUCAUCAUCAUCGUCAUUUUUAUUCUCUUUAGAUCCAGAUAUGCAUACUUAGAAGCUGACAUUUUGGCCAGGUACGGUGGCUUACGCCGGUAAUCCCAGCACUUUGGGAGGC
Molecule: long non-coding RNA, 2954 nt
Filed under: Homo sapiens (human)
Lineage: Eukaryota; Metazoa; Chordata; Mammalia; Primates; Hominidae
Description: NUDT16 divergent transcript
Source: RNAcentral